This 392-nucleotide unclassified non-coding RNA is filed under the name Galium triflorum. Its description in RNAcentral is "partial external transcribed spacer". The record is from RNAcentral. Lineage: Eukaryota; Viridiplantae; Streptophyta; Magnoliopsida; Gentianales; Rubiaceae.
GUGGUCUGCCCGUGCAGCGACGAUUAUGCAUGCGUUCCUCUUCAAAUCUAGGCACAAGUGCAAUUUAGCCUUGGCCGAAACUCGGAUUUCCUGUGUUGGAUACCUACUAGAUGGAAUUUUCUCGUCGACUAUCGAAUGAUCGCCUAAUGCCACCCUCGUUGGUGGUUGCGAGUGAUCCACAAAGUGAGAUUUGUGAUCCUCGAUGCAGUGUACUCGUACUCGUUGCUGUCGAGGCCCACACUUCUUCGCUCGGACUGAGGGAUUCGGUAUAUGCUGUGGGCAUGGGUAUCCGUUGCCCUUAUUUGCCACACCAAACGAAAACAUCCAAACGACGUUCGAUGGUGUGCUGGCUCUAGGGCCACGCAUCUCGAUGUCUGCGAGGAAUGCUACCU